GAUGAACGCUAGCGGCAGGCCUAAUACAUGCAAGUCGAGGGGCAGCAGGGAUAGCAAUAUUCGCUGGCGACCGGCGCACGGGUGCGUAACACGUAUACAAUCUGCCUUUAACUGGGGGAUAGCCCGAAGAAAUUCGGAUUAAUACCCCAUAACAAUGGAACUGGCAUCAGUUCUAUUUAAAAGCUCCGGCGGUUAGAGAUGAGUAUGCGUCUGAUUAGCUAGUUGGUGAGGUAACGGCUCACCAAGGCUACGAUCAGUAGGGGAUCUGAGAGGAUUAACCCCCACACGGAUACUGAGACACGGAUCCGACUCCUACGGGAGGCAGCAGUAAGGAAUAUUGGACAAUGCCCGCAAGGGUGAUCCAGCCAUGCCGCGUGCAGGAAGACAGCCCUAUGGGUCGUAAACUGCUUUUACACCGGAGAAAACCCCACUACGUGUAGUGGGCUGAUAGUAUGGUGAGAAUAAGCAUCGGCUAACUUCGUGCCAGCAGCCGCGGUAAGACGAAGGAUGCAAGCGUUAUCCGGAUUCAUUGGGUUUAAAGGGAGCGUAGGUGGCCUUAUAAGUCAGUGGUGAAAUCUUCGAGCUUAACUCGGAAAUUGCCAUUGAUACUGUAGGGCUUGAGUAUAGUUGCCGUUGGCGGAAUAUGACAUGUAGUGGUGAAAUACAUAGAGAUGUCAUAGAACACCGAUUGCGAAGGCAGCUGACGAAACUAUAACUGACACUGAGGCUCGAAAGUGCGGGGAUCAAACAGGAUUAGAUACCCUGGUAGUCCGCACUGUAAACGAUGAUUACUCGCUGCUAGGGGGCAACUCUUAGUGGCUUAGCGAAAGCGAUAAGUAAUCCACCUGGGGAGUACGCCGGCAACGGUG
Molecule: ribosomal RNA, 869 nt
Filed under: uncultured bacterium
Lineage: Bacteria
Description: bacterial SSU rRNA
Rfam family: Bacterial small subunit ribosomal RNA
Source: RNAcentral